Molecule: ribosomal RNA, 429 nt
Filed under: uncultured bacterium
Lineage: Bacteria
Description: bacterial SSU rRNA
Rfam family: Bacterial small subunit ribosomal RNA
Source: RNAcentral
AGAGUUUGAUCCUGGCUCAGAACGAACGCUGGCGGCGUGCUUAACACAUGCAAGUCGGAUGCGAGGAGUUCCUUCGGGGGCUGAGUAGCAUGGCAGACGGGUGCGGAACGCGUACGUGACCUGGCUCGUGAUGGGGGAUAGGCCUUCGAAAGAGGGGAUAAUCCCGCAUACGCUCUUUCUGGUGGAGCGGGAAGAGGAAAGUGGGCAGAGGCAGAGCAAGCUGACGUCACGAGGGGGGCGUGCGUCCUAUCAGCUAGUUGGUACGGUAACGGCGUACCAAGGCGACGACGGGUAGCUGGUCUGAGAGGAUGAUCAGCCACACUGGGACUGAGACACGGCCCAGACUCCUACGGGAGGCAGCAGUGGGGAAUUUUGCGCAAUGGGCGCAAGCCUGACGCAGCAACGCCGCGUGUGUGACGACGCCCUUCG